GAUGAACGCUAGCGGCAGGCCUAAUACAUGCAAGUCGAACGAUAGUUGGGGCUUGCUCCAACGAAAAGUGGCGCACGGGUGCGUAACGCGUAUGCAACCUACCUUAUUCAGGGGGAUAGCCCGAAGAAAUUCGGAUUAACACCGCAUAAAAUCACAGCUCAGCAUUGAGUAAUGAUCAAAUAUUUAUAGGAAUAAGAUGGGCAUGCGUGUCAUUAGCUAGUUGGCGGGGUAACGGCCCACCAAGGCGACGAUGACUAGGGGAUCUGAGAGGAUGACCCCCCACACUGGUACUGAGACACGGACCAGACUCCUACGGGAGGCAGCAGUAAGGAAUAUUGGUCAAUGGAGGCAACUCUGAACCAGCCAUGCCGCGUGCAGGAAGACAGCCCUCUGGGUCGUAAACUGCUUUUAUUCGGGAAUAAACCUUUCUACGUGUAGAGAGCUGAAUGUACCGAAGGAAUAAGGAUCGGCUAACUCCGUGCCAGCAGCCGCGGUAAUACGGAGGAUCCAAGCGUUACCCGGAUUUAUUGGGUUUAAAGGGUGCGUAGGCGGCUUAUUAAGUCAGGGGUGAAAGACGGUGGCUCAACCAUCGCAGUGCCUUUGAUACUGAUGAGCUUGAAUGAACUAGAGGUAGGCGGAAUGUGACAAGUAGCGGUGAAAUGCAUAGAUAUGUCACAGAACACCGAUUGCGAAGGCAGCUUACUAUGGUUUUAUUGACGCUGAGGCACGAAAGCGUGGGGAUCAAACAGGAUUAGAUACCCUGGUAGUCCACGCCCUAAACGAUGAAUACUCGCUGUUAGCGAUACACAGUUAGCGGCUAAGCGAAAGCGUUAAGUAUUCCACCUGGGGAGUACGCCCGCAAGGGUGAAACUCAAAGGAAUUGACGGGGGCCCGCACAAGCGGAGGAGCAUGUGGUUUAAUUCGAUGAUACGCGAGGAACCUUACCCGGGCUUGAAAGUUAGUGAAUGAUUUAGAGAUAGAUCAGUGAGCAAUCACACGAAACUAGGUGCUGCAUGGCUGUCGUCAGCUCGUGCCGUGAGGUGUUGGGUUAAGUCCCGCAACGAGCGCAACCCCUAUGUUUAGUUGCCAGCACGUUAAGGUGGGGACUCUAAACAGACUGCCUGUGCAAACAGAGAGGAAGGAGGGGACGACGUCAAGUCAUCAUGGCCCUUACGUCCGGGGCUACACACGUGCUACAAUGGAUGGUACAGAGGGCAGCAAGCUGGCAACAGCAAGCAAAUCUCAAAAAGCCAUUCACAGUUCGGAUAGAGGUCUGCAACUCGACCUCUUGAAGUUGGAUUCGCUAGUAAUCGCGUAUCAGCAAUGACGCGGUGAAUACGUUCCCGGGCCU
This 1351-nucleotide ribosomal RNA is filed under the name uncultured bacterium. RNAcentral describes it as "bacterial SSU rRNA". It matches the Rfam family "Bacterial small subunit ribosomal RNA", at positions 28 to 1381 of the family's 1533-position model. The record is from RNAcentral.